GCUCGUAAGUCGUCUCGGCACUCUGCGAUCGGCUGCGCUCGGGCGUUACCGUCGUUCUAUCGGCGCUCUGCCCCACCCCACUUGCUCGACGUUUUCACGUAACGGUCCUUCGGUCUUCACUCUUCAAUCCAGCGCGAUACUCUGAAUACGAUAGUAGUAAUGAGCUGUCGUCACUAUGAUUAGUUCUAUCACCGAACCGGAGAGGUUUUGAAAAGUAAUGCCCCUUUAGUAGUAGGAGCAUAUUUGUAUCGAGUUUUUGCUAAGAUUGACGAUGGUCGACUAACAUGAACGUUGAGGCAUAAUAAUUAGCGACGGUAAACAAUGGGCAUGUCGUCCUCUGGCCGCUACCUGCGCAUGACGAUAGAGGACGUGUGACUUGUCCUGCCUUGUCCUUGCCGGGGCGCGAUGAAGAAUUUCUAUGAUUGGAACAAAGCAAACAACGGUCAAUGAACUCCGAUCAAACUGCCGACAGAGAACAAUAUAAAGAUCAUAAGUUUUGUAAUAGACACGGAAUUGAAGUAUAGGUAGAACUGUUAGAAGGAACGUAAGUAGCACAUAAUGCAGUGUGGCAAGUGAGUAUGUCGGCAUAGCGAGCGGUUACAUGCCCUCUUGAUUAGGGUUGCUACUAAACAUAAAUCAAUACUUUUUGGUAAUUUCUUCGGUUUUCUAGUGUCUUAAAUAUAAUUGAUGCUUUCAAUAUCUUAAAACUAUUUUGAAAACUAUUCAGUUAUCGUCGUCUAUGGACCACAAAAAAUUGUAAAGUAUUCCAAACUGACGUAAAUAUAAUGACAGCUAUAAACGCAAAAUUAAACCGUAAAGGUGCUUUUAAUUAUAAGUAUUAUUAAUUUUAUACCAAAAGUAACUAAUUAGUGUGACACAGUGCUUCAAUAAGCAUAACUAGGACGGCUAUGUAGUUAAUGGCAUGCAUUUAAAUCUCAAUGUAAGCUGAUAAAAAAUAAUUACUUACAUAUUAUCGAUAAGAUCUACAUAAUUUAUAUUAACGUUUCGGCUGAUAAAAAAUUAACCGGCUAUUAAUCAGAAGACAUGGGAACAGCCCGAAUCUCCGUAAACUAGUUCGGUAAUUCCCCAUUAUUCGACUUUUCUAUUUUCCCUACCUAUUCGCUGGUAUCCUAAGAGACUAUUCCAGCUACACCCUAACGGGUAGGCAAACUCA
Long non-coding RNA from Bombyx mandarina (wild silkworm), 1174 nucleotides. RefSeq lists it as uncharacterized. NCBI's taxonomy places the organism in Eukaryota, Metazoa, Arthropoda, Insecta, Lepidoptera, Bombycidae. The record is from RefSeq and is a predicted model, not a curated record.